GCGUGAGCGAUGAAGGCCUUAGGGUUGUAAAGCUCUUUCACCGGUGAAGAUAAUGACGGUAGCCGGAGAAGAAGCCCCGGCUAACUCCGUGCCAGCAGCCGCGGUAAUACGGAGGGGGCUAGCGUUGUUCGGAAUUACUGGGCGUAAAGCGCGCGUAGGCGGAAGUUCAAGUCGGGGGUGAAAUCCCGGGGCUCAACCCCGGAACUGCCUCCGAUACUGUUCUUCUAGAGGUCUGGAGAGGUGAGUGGAAUUCCGAGUGUAGAGGUGAAAUUCGU
RNAcentral lists this ribosomal RNA (275 nucleotides) under uncultured bacterium. RNAcentral describes it as "partial 16S ribosomal RNA". It matches the Rfam family "Bacterial small subunit ribosomal RNA", at positions 399 to 691 of the family's 1533-position model. The record is from RNAcentral.